Molecule: ribosomal RNA, 372 nt
Filed under: uncultured bacterium
Lineage: Bacteria
Description: bacterial SSU rRNA
Rfam family: Bacterial small subunit ribosomal RNA
Source: RNAcentral
UACGGAGGGUGCAAGCGUUAUCCGGAUUUAUUGGGUUUAAAGGGUCCGUAGGCGGAUCUGUAAGUCAGUGGUGAAAUCUCACAGCUUAACUGUGAAACUGCCAUUGAUACUGCAGGUCUUGAGUAAGGUAGAAGUAGCUGGAAUAAGUAGUGUAGCGGUGAAAUGCAUAGAUAUUACUUAGAACACCAAUUGCGAAGGCAGGUUACUAUGUCUUAACUGACGCUGAUGGACGAAAGCGUGGGGAGCGAACAGGAUUAGAUACCCUGGUAGUCCACGCCGUAAACGAUGCUAACUCGUUUUUGGGUCUUCGGAUUCAGAGACUAAGCGAAAGUGAUAAGUUAGCCACCUGGGGAGUACGUUCGCAAGAAUGAA